RNAcentral lists this ribosomal RNA (505 nucleotides) under uncultured bacterium. RNAcentral's name for it is "partial 16S ribosomal RNA". It matches the Rfam family "Bacterial small subunit ribosomal RNA", at positions 28 to 523 of the family's 1533-position model. The record is from RNAcentral.
GAUGAACGCUAGCUACAGGCUUAACACAUGCAAGUCGAGGGGUAACGAGAGGAAAGCUUGCUUUCCUUGUCGACGACCGGCGCACGGGUGAGUAACGCGUAUCCAACCUGCCCCCAACUAGGGAAUAACCUUGCGAAAGUAAGACUAAUACCCUAUAAUUUCCUCAGAUGUCAUCUGACGAGGAAUAAAGAUCUAUCGGUUAUAGAUGGGGAUGCGUCUGAUUAGCUUGUUGGCGGGGUAACGGCCCACCAAGGCAACGAUCAGUAGGGGUUCUGAGAGGAAGGUCCCCCACAUUGGAACUGAGACACGGUCCAAACUCCUACGGGAGGCAGCAGUGAGGAAUAUUGGUCAAUGGGCGGAAGCCUGAACCAGCCAAGUAGCGUGCAGGAUGACGGCCCUAUGGGUUGUAAACUGCUUUUAUACAGGAAUAAAGUUAGCCACGUGUGGUUAUUUGUAGGUACUGUAUGAAUAAGGACCGGCUAAUUCCGUGCCAGCCGCCGGGUAA